Molecule: small RNA, 29 nt
Filed under: Bombyx mori (domestic silkworm)
Lineage: Eukaryota; Metazoa; Arthropoda; Insecta; Lepidoptera; Bombycidae
Description: ovarian small RNA-27074
Source: RNAcentral
UCCAUUCAUCCAUCGUGUGUUGUCCUCGG